UACGUAGGUGGCAAGCGUUGUCCGGAUUUACUGGGCGUAAAGAGCGCGCAGGCGGUCGUUCAAGUCGCGUGUGAAAGCCCCCGGCUCAACUGGGGAGGGUCACGCGAUACUGAUCGACUCGAAGGCAGGAGAGGGUAGUGGAAUUCCCGGUGUAGUGGUGAAAUGCGUAGAUAUCGGGAGGAACACCAGUGGCGAAGGCGACUACCUGGCCUGUUCUUGACGCUGAGGCGCGAAAGCCAGGGGAGCGAACAGG
RNAcentral lists this ribosomal RNA (253 nucleotides) under uncultured bacterium. Its description in RNAcentral is "partial 16S ribosomal RNA". It matches the Rfam family "Bacterial small subunit ribosomal RNA", at positions 524 to 776 of the family's 1533-position model. The record is from RNAcentral.